RNAcentral lists this ribosomal RNA (467 nucleotides) under uncultured bacterium. RNAcentral describes it as "partial 16S ribosomal RNA". It matches the Rfam family "Bacterial small subunit ribosomal RNA", at positions 28 to 507 of the family's 1533-position model. The record is from RNAcentral.
GACGAACGCUGGCGGCGUGCUUAACACAUGCAAGUCGAACGGAAAGGCCCUGCUCUUGUGGGGUGCUUGAUUGGCGAACGGGUGAGUAACACGUGAGUAACCUGCCCUUGACUUUGGGAGAACUUUAGGAAACACGGGCUAAUACCGGAUAGGAGCUUCUGCUGCAUGGUGUGGGUUGGAAAGAUGCGGUGGUUGGGGUUGGACUCGCGGCAUAUCAGCUUGUUGGUAGGGUAGUUGCUUACCAAGGCUUUGACGGGUAGCCGGCCUGGGAGGGAGACCGGCCACAUACGCCCACGGGUGCGACCCGGACGGAUACGGGCGGCAGGAGUGAGGAACUUAGGAAGCUGCGCCGAGGCCUGGUGGAGCAACGCCGGAUGCGGGAACUCGGCCAUCAGGUAAGAACACGCUUGCGCCUGUCACGGAGCGUGAGUAAGGGUACUGGUCAAAGAGGCACGGCCAACCUAGGU